AUAACCACGACGUCAGUAAACCGAGGACACGUCGCUUCGCCGCCGUUGCCGCAGUUACCGCCACGACAACAAUUCUCUCGUCCUCCUCGUCUUUGCCAACAUUGCUCGCCUUUCAAACGUGCCCACCUUCAGUGCGACACAUCCAGCGACAAC
This 153-nucleotide non-coding RNA is filed under the name Conticribra weissflogii. The record is from RNAcentral. Lineage: Eukaryota; Bacillariophyta; Thalassiosirophyceae; Thalassiosirales; Thalassiosiraceae.